CGGUGGGAAGGUUCGGAAAUGGCGGUGCAGCCGAAGGAGACGCUGCAACUGGAGAGCGCAGCCGAAGUCGGCUUUGUGCGCUUCUUUCAGGGCAUGCCGGAGAAGCCGACCACCACGGUGCGCCUUUUCGACCGCGGCGACUUCUAUACUGUGCACGGCGAGGACGCGGUGCUAGCCGCCCGGGAGGUAUUCAAGACCCAAGGGGUGAUCAAGUAUAUGGGGCCUGCAGGUGCAAAAGAUCUCCAGAGUGUUGUGCUUAGUAAAAUGAAUUUUGAGUCUUUUGUAAAAGAUCUUCUUUUGGUUCGUCAGUAUAGAGUUGAAGUUUAUAAGAAUAGAGCUGGAAAUAAGGCAUCUAAGGAAAAUGAUUGGUAUUUGGCAUUUAAGGCUUCUCCUGGCAAUCUUUCUCAGUUUGAAGACAUUCUCUUUGGUAACAAUGAUUUGUCAGCUUCUAUUGGUGUGGUAGGUGUCAAAAUGUCCACAGUUGAUGGCCAAAGACAGGUUGGAGUAGGAUAUGUUGAUUCCAUACAGAGGAAGCUAGGACUGUGUGAGUUCCCUGAUAACGAUCAGUUCUCCAAUCUUGAGGCACUUCUGAUUCAGAUUGGACCAAAGGAAUGCAUCUUACCAGGAGGAGAGACUGCUGGAGACAUGGGGAAACUGAGGCAGGUUAUUCAGAGAGGAGGAAUUUUGAUUACAGAAAGGAAAAGAACUGACUUUUCCACAAAAGACAUUUAUCAGGACCUCAACCGGUUGUUGAAAGGCAAAAAGGGAGAACAGCUGAAUAGUGCUGUUUUGCCAGAAAUGGAGAAUCAGGUUGCAGUUUGUUCAUUGUCAGCAGUAAUCAAGUUUUUAGAACUCUUAUCAGAUGAUUCAAACUUUGGCCAGUUUGAACUUACUACUUUUGACUUCAGCCAAUACAUGAAACUGGAUAUUGCAGCAGUCAGAGCCCUUAACCUAUUCCAGGGUUCUGUUGAAGAUACCACUGGCUCUCAAUCUCUGGCUGCGUUGCUGAAUAAAUGUAAAACAUCUCAAGGACAGAGACUAGUUAAUCAGUGGAUUAAGCAGCCUCUCAUGGACAAGAACAGAAUAGAAGAGAGAUUAAAUUUAGUGGAAGCCUUUGUAGAAGAUGCAGAACUGAGGCAGAGUUUACAAGAAGACUUACUUCGUAGAUUCCCAGAUCUUAACAAACUUGCGAAGAAAUUUCAAAGACAAGCAGCAAACUUACAAGAUUGUUACCGACUCUAUCAGGGUAUAAAUCAACUUCCUAAUGUAAUACAGGCUCUGGAAAAAUAUGAAGGAAAACACCAAUCAUUGUUGUUGGCAGUUUUUGUGACUCCUCUUAUUGAUCUUCGUUCUGAUUUCUCCAAGUUUCAGGAAAUGAUAGAAACAACUUUAGAUAUGGAUCAGGUGGAAAACCAUGAGUUCCUUGUAAAACCUUCAUUUGAUCCUAAUCUGAGUGAAUUAAGAGAAAUAAUGGAUGACUUGGAAAAGAAGAUGCAGUCAACAUUAAUAAGUGCAGCCAGAGAACUUGGCUUGGACCCUGGCAAACAAAUCAAACUGGAUUCCAGUGCACAGUUUGGAUAUUACUUUCGUGUGACCUGUAAAGAAGAAAAAGUCCUUCGUAACAAUAAAAACUUCAGUACAGUAGACAUCCAGAAGAAUGGUGUUAAAUUUACCAACAGUAAAUUAUCUUCUUUCAAUGAAGAAUAUACCAAAAAUAAAACUGAAUAUGAGGAAGCCCAGGAUGCCAUUGUUAAAGAAAUUGUCAAUAUUUCUUCAGGCUAUGUCGAACCAAUGCAGACACUUAAUGAUGUGUUAGCUCAGCUAGAUGCUGUUGUCAGCUUUGCUCAUGUGUCAAAUGGAGCACCUGUUCCAUACGUACGACCAGUCAUUUUGGAGAAAGGACAAGGAAGAAUUAUAUUAAAAGCAUCCAGACAUGCUUGUGUUGAAGUUCAAGAUGAAGUUGCAUUUAUUCCUAAUGAUGUACACUUUGAAAAAGAUAAACAGAUGUUCCACAUCAUUACCGGCCCCAAUAUGGGAGGUAAAUCAACAUAUAUUCGUCAGACUGGUGUGAUUGUACUCAUGGCCCAAAUUGGGUGUUUUGUGCCCUGUGAGUCAGCGGAAGUAUCCAUUGUGGACUGCAUCUUGGCUCGGGUAGGGGCUGGUGACAGUCAGUUAAAAGGAGUAUCCACGUUCAUGGCUGAAAUGUUGGAAACUGCUUCUAUCCUCAGGUCUGCAACCAAAGAUUCUUUAAUAAUCAUAGAUGAAUUGGGAAGAGGAACUUCUACCUAUGAUGGAUUUGGGUUAGCAUGGGCUAUAUCAGAUUACAUUGCAACAAAGAUUGGUGCUUUUUGCAUGUUUGCAACUCAUUUUCAUGAACUUACUGCCUUGGCCAAUCAGAUACCAACUGUGAAUAAUCUACAUGUUACUGCACUAACCACAGAAGAGACCUUAACUAUGCUCUAUCAAGUGAAAAAAGGUGUCUGUGAUCAGAGUUUUGGAAUUCAUGUUGCAGAGCUUGCUAAUUUUCCUAGGCAUGUAAUAGAGUGUGCUAAACAAAAAGCCAUGGAACUUGAGGAAUUUCAGAAUAUUGGAGAAUCACAAGGCUAUGAUGAAACAGAACCAGCAGCAAAGAAGUGCUAUCUGGAAAGAGAGCUUUGUGAAGUUAGUGAUACAAUUAUGCCUAGUUUAUUGAAGAGGAGUAUAGGUUAAGGAAUUUGCCCAGGGGUCAUAUAGCAAGUAAUCAUGUUCUUUGGAUCUGUAAAAACCGGGCAGUGAAGAAAGCAUCCUGUAUUUGUCAAGGUGAAAAAAUUAUUCAGGAAUUUCUGUACAAGGUGAAGCAAGUGCCCUUUACCGAAAUGUCAGAAGAAGACAUCACAAUAAAGUUAAAACAGCUGAAAGCAGAGGUGAUAGCGAAGAAUAAUAG
Tupaia belangeri chinensis (Chinese tree shrew) is the source of this 2923-nucleotide RNA transcript. It is a transcript of the gene named mutS homolog 2, with no coding region annotated. The transcript is spliced from 17 exons. NCBI's taxonomy places the organism in Eukaryota, Metazoa, Chordata, Mammalia, Scandentia, Tupaiidae. The record is from RefSeq and is a predicted model, not a curated record.